AGAGUUUGAUCCUGGCUCAGGAUGAACGCUAGCGGCAGGCCUAAUACAUGCAAGUCGAACGGUCAGUAGCAAUACUGAUAGUGGCGCACGGGUGCGUAACGCGUAACCAACCUACCCGAAUCUGGGGGAUAGCCCGCCGAAAGGCGGAUUAAUACCGCAUAAAACUGCAGGACGGCAUCGUGUAACAGUUAAAGAUUUAUUGGAUUCGGAUGGGGUUGCGUGCCAUUAGCUAGUUGGGGAGGUAACGGCUCACCAAGGCGACGAUGGCUAGGGGAGCUGAGAGGCUGGUCCCCCACACGGGCACUGAGAUACGGGCCCGACUCCUACGGGAGGCAGCAGUAGGGAAUAUUGGGCAAUGGCCGAGAGGCUGACCCAGCCAUGCCGCGUGCAGGAUGAAGGCUUUCUGAGUCGUAAACUGCUUUUGCCAGGGAAGAAAAAAGCGGAUGCGUCCGCUACUGACGGUACCUGGUGAAUAAGCACCGGCUAACUCCGUGCCAGCAGCCGCGGUAAUACGGAGGGUGCAAGCGUUGUCCGGAUUUAUUGGGUUUAAAGGGUGCGUAGGCGGUCUUUAAGUCCGGGGUGAAAGCCCACUGCUCAACAG
This 601-nucleotide ribosomal RNA is filed under the name uncultured Bacteroidota bacterium. RNAcentral's name for it is "bacterial SSU rRNA". It matches the Rfam family "Bacterial small subunit ribosomal RNA", at positions 8 to 615 of the family's 1533-position model. Lineage: Bacteria; Pseudomonadati; Bacteroidota. The record is from RNAcentral.